CUCUUUUUAGAUUGGGUGUUUAAGAAGCCGAGCGGAAUCGACUUCAGUUCAAAGAAGGGCCAUCACGAUGAAAUUACAGUUGUUCCUGCUUGCCUUGUUGGUUUGCUGUUUCGUCAGAAAUAUACAUACGCAUUGGUGUAUAUCACAUGUACUUACUGAAGGGCGUUCUAAGAAAAUAUUUCGGUUCCAAGCAUAUCCGUGCAAAAAAAAUCGUGUAAAGCGAGACGCAUUGGGUGGAUCAAUAUUUCAAGAAAUGUAAAUCGAAUAUUUUUUGAAUUUAUAACGAUCAUUUACAAUUAAUAAAACUACAAACGAA
Molecule: long non-coding RNA, 316 nt
Organism: Drosophila erecta
Lineage: Eukaryota; Metazoa; Arthropoda; Insecta; Diptera; Drosophilidae
Exons: 2
Source: RefSeq, a predicted model, not a curated record